UGCCAGCCGCCGCGGUAAUACGGAGGGUGCAAGCAUUAAUCGGAUUUAUUGGGCGUAAAGAGCGCGUAGGCGGUGUUGUAAGUCAGAUGUGAAAUCCCAGAGCUCAACUCUGGAACUGCAUUUGAAACUACAGCACUAGAGGAUAGGCGGAGAAAACGGAAUUCCACAUGUAGCGGUGAAAUGCGUAGAUAUGUGGAGGAACACCGGUGGCGAAGGCGGUUUUCUAGCUUAUUCCUGACGCUGAGGCGCGAAAGCAAGGGGAGCAAACAGGAUUAGAUA
RNAcentral lists this ribosomal RNA (279 nucleotides) under uncultured bacterium. RNAcentral's name for it is "partial 16S ribosomal RNA". It matches the Rfam family "Bacterial small subunit ribosomal RNA", at positions 506 to 784 of the family's 1533-position model. The record is from RNAcentral.